This 253-nucleotide ribosomal RNA is filed under the name uncultured bacterium. RNAcentral describes it as "partial 16S ribosomal RNA". It matches the Rfam family "Bacterial small subunit ribosomal RNA", at positions 524 to 776 of the family's 1533-position model. The record is from RNAcentral.
UACGGAGGGUGCAAACGUUGCUCGGAAUUAUUGGGCGUAAAGAGCUCGUAGGCGGUUUGUCGCGUCGAAUGUGAAAACCCGGGGCUCAACCCCGGGCCUGCAUUCGAUACGGGCAGACUAGAGUUCGGUAGGGGAGUCUGGAAUUCCUGGUGUAGCGGUGAAAUGCGCAGAUAUCAGGAGGAACACCGGUGGCGAAGGCGGCUCUUUGGCCUGUAACUGACGCUGAGGCGCGAAAGCGUGGGGAGCAAACAGG